Long non-coding RNA from Oncorhynchus tshawytscha (Chinook salmon), 1331 nucleotides. RefSeq lists it as uncharacterized. NCBI's taxonomy places the organism in Eukaryota, Metazoa, Chordata, Actinopteri, Salmoniformes, Salmonidae. The record is from RefSeq and is a predicted model, not a curated record. The transcript is spliced from 5 exons.
AUUUCCUGGAAACGACUUUCAACGGGAAGAGAAUAUUUGGCGCGGAAACUUCUGUUGUGUUGAGCUGUGUACCAAGAGAGAGAUGAAGGUUGUCAAUAAAUAGCAAUGGCUCCGGCUUCUAACACAUAGAAGCAUCGCACCUGGCAUUGAUGAGCCUGGAAAGAGUGGCGAUAACAUCAUUAUUGGCAGUGGCAUCUGGGCCCAGUUCCAAACAUGCCUUUCUUGGAAGCUGGAGGUUUGCUUUAAAGGUUAAAGGCAAAGAAGGAAAAUCCUCGUCUGACACGGGGAUGACUGGUCUGGCAGCUCAACAGAGCCAAGGGAGAGAAGGUCAAAUACGAGGUGAUAGUCGCGUGUGUGUGUGUUCGUUGCCCAAGCCCUGUUCCGACAGGUGGCGGAUUUGACCAGUGUGUAUGAAGAGGUGGACGAGGAACUCUCGGAUGGCGAGAGAGGCAGAACGGUGACUGGAUCGUUGAUGAUGUUUUCUUGAAGAUCACUCCGUGACACACACAAUGCAGUGGUUCAGCAGAAGAUGAUGCGCUGUCUGCCGCUGACUUCCCACUCGCCGUCUCUCGCCGCUGUCAUCAAAUGGACUCAUGCUAGCAACAAGUUCUGACUGAGCUCUAUUGUCAUGAAAUGCCAUACAACUGCAGAGUUUCUCUCUUUCUCAUACAAAGUUAUAACGAGGAGCGCCCACAAUGUGUUCUGUGUGGGGAAAGUGCUUACUGAUGAGUCUCUCAUAACGAACAAAUGAGUAAAAGGACACGCCCUGACCAAACAUCCACAGCAUGAUGGUAAACCCAGAGAGUUAUUUCAGAACAGGGCAGAAUGCUUCAGGAAACAGUGGUUCAGGAAACAGUGCUUCAGGAAACAGGGCUUCAGGAAACAGUGCUUCGGGAAACAGGGCUUCAGGAAACAGUGCUUCGGGAAACAGGGCUUCAGGAAACAGUGCUUCGGGAAACAGUGCUUCGGGAAACAGUGCUUCAGGAAACAGUGCUUCGGGAAACAGUGCUUCGGGAAACAGUGCUUCGGGAAACAGUGCUUCAGGAAACAGUGCUUCAGGAAACAGUGCUUCAGGAAACAGUGGAAAAGUAAGUCAGCUAGCAAGACAUUGUUGUCAUUUUAUAACAGGUGAUGGAUGAUAAGCAGAAAUAAGGGAAUACUAGCUAACUCUCAUAGUAGAUGUGAGUUUCUCUUUCAAACAAUCCUCUGGCCUUGUACACAGCUAAUAGCUAACAUUCACCAAAGCAAGCUAGCUACUGAUAGUGCAACCCUCAGUAACAGUCCAGAUGAAAAAUGAUCAGGCCUACUGUUCAUCUUACUGUUGAAAACUA